Eurytemora carolleeae is the source of this 1019-nucleotide long non-coding RNA. RefSeq lists it as uncharacterized. The transcript is spliced from 2 exons. Lineage: Eukaryota; Metazoa; Arthropoda; Copepoda; Calanoida; Temoridae. The record is from RefSeq and is a predicted model, not a curated record.
UAAUAGUUUUCAUACAAAACUUUUACACUUCCAUAUGUUUGUUAGUUGAGUGCGAACCAGAAUAAUGUGGAAUAAGACAGUUGCAAUAAUGAAGUGUAUUAGGGUGUUACAAAGCAUAUUAAGUAACUUAUCUUAUCACUUAGUUACUUAAACGGGUCUGUUUACAACUUUACAUUGCACAAAUGCUGUGUAUCAAGUUUAAUGCACUACUUCAAGUCAUGACUUGAUUCUAGAAGUCGUCUUCCAAUUCCAGAAUUUUAUGAUUAUCACUGUAUCUGAAUGGGUUUGUCGAUGUGGUUAUAAUUGGUCCGGUAUUUGAAGGAUUCUGAACAGUAUAUUUUAAACUACUAUUCAGACUUUUGCCCUUUCUUUACAAGAAAACGUCUCACAAAUUUCUGAAAGAAAUACGAGCAAGAAAAUGGCAGAAAAUUGUCUAAUAUCAAUCAUCAUUGUUCCUCCGAUUAAAGGGCAUUAUUGUCUUUACUUAAAAUCACAUUGCUGUCCCUUCUAAGAUAUUAAAUUUUGAAUUUACUGUCCCCUUCACGUAUUCCUGAAGCGUUCUCAUUUUUUGUUAUUUACUGUUAAACUAAUUCGGAAUCAUCGAGCUUAUUUAAUAUUUAUUGCAUUAUUAUUUUAAGUGCUUUCCUAUUUAAAGUGUAUAAUUUACAAUAAGGAGUGCACUCCCUUAAUCUACAUUUCUUUAAGUGAGUGCACUCCCUUAAUCUACAUUUCUUUAAGGGAGUGCACUCCCUUAAUCUCUCAAGUGUAAACGUAAUAUAUUAAGUGACCCACUAAAUGUUGCCCUUUUUACACCUCAUUCUGAUCAUCUCGAUAAACAAUGAGGAAGAUAUCAUUUUGCUCUUUUUUGCAAAAACAAGAUUUUUUUCUUAUUUGUAAAAAUGAAUAUCUCCAUCAUUUUUUCUUGAUAAUAGGUAUCGUUGUGAGUAGGGCAUAAGGGUAAUUUAAAAUUGCGUUGAUAGUCUCGAUGAGUUAUAGUAGCGCUUAUUUGAUCAGUUAGU